GAUGAAGAACGCAGCGAAAUGCGAUAAGUAAUGUGAAUUGCAGAAUUCAGUGAAUCAUCGAAUCUUUGAACGCACAUUGCGCCCGCCAGCAUUCUGGCGGGCAUGCCUGUUCGAGCGUCAUUUCAACCCUCGAGCCCCCCCGGGGGCCUCGGUGUUGGGGGACGGCACACCAGCUGCCCCCGAAAUGCAGUGGCGACCUCGCCGCAGCCUCCCCUGCGUAGUAGCACACACCUCGCACCGGAGCGCGGAGACGGUCACGCCGUAAAACGCCCAACUUCUUAGAGUUGACCUCGGAUCAGGUAGGAAUACCCGCUGAACUUAAGCAUAUCAAUAAGCGGAGGA
RNAcentral lists this unclassified non-coding RNA (342 nucleotides) under soil metagenome. RNAcentral describes it as "partial contains 5.8S ribosomal RNA, internal transcribed spacer 2, and large subunit ribosomal RNA". The stretch from base 1 to 120 matches the Rfam family "5.8S ribosomal RNA", at positions 35 to 154 of the family's 154-position model. The record is from RNAcentral.